Molecule: ribosomal RNA, 815 nt
Filed under: uncultured bacterium
Lineage: Bacteria
Description: bacterial SSU rRNA
Rfam family: Bacterial small subunit ribosomal RNA
Source: RNAcentral
UCGAGGGGCAGCACGAUGUAGCAAUACAUUGGUGGCGACCGGCGCACGGGUGAGUAACGCGUAUGCAACCUACCUAUCAGAGGGGAAUAACCCGGCGAAAGUCGGACUAAUACCGCAUAAAACAGGGGUUCCACAUGGAAAUAUUUGUUAAAGAAUUAUCGCUGAUAGAUGGGCAUGCGUUCCAUUAGAUAGUUGGUGAGGUAACGGCUCACCAAGUCCACGAUGGAUAGGGGUUCUGAGAGGAAGGUCCCCCACACUGGUACUGAGACACGGACCAGACUCCUACGGGAGGCAGCAGUGAGGAAUAUUGGUCAAUGGGCGAGAGCCUGAACCAGCCAAGUCGCGUGAAGGAUGAAGGAUCUAUGGUUUGUAAACUUCUUUUAUAUGGGAAUAAAGUGAGGAACGUGUUCCUUUUUGUAUGUACCAUAUGAAUAAGCAUCGGCUAACUCCGUGCCAGCAGCCGCGGUAAUACGGAGGAUGCGAGCGUUAUCCGGAUUUAUUGGGUUUAAAGGGUGCGUAGGUGGUUAAUUAAGUCAGCGGUGAAAGUUUGUGGCUCAACCAUAAAAUUGCCGUUGAAACUGGUUGACUUGAGUAUAUUUGAGGUAGGCGGAAUGCGUGGUGUAGCGGUGAAAUGCAUAGAUAUCACGCAGAACUCCGAUUGCGAAGGCAGCUUACUAAACUAUAACUGACACUGAAGCACGAAAGCGUGGGGAUCAAACAGGAUUAGAUACCCUGGUAGUCCACGCAGUAAACGAUGAUUACUAGCUGUUUGCGAUACACAGUAAGCGGCACAGCGAAAGCGUUAUGUAAUCCAC